RNAcentral lists this ribosomal RNA (253 nucleotides) under uncultured bacterium. RNAcentral's name for it is "partial 16S ribosomal RNA". It matches the Rfam family "Bacterial small subunit ribosomal RNA", at positions 524 to 776 of the family's 1533-position model. The record is from RNAcentral.
UACGUAGGGUCCGAGCGUUGUCCGGAAUUAUUGGGCGUAAAGAGCUCGUAGGCGGUUUGUCGCGUCUGCUGUGAAAUCCCGAGGCUCAACCUCGGGCCUGCAGUGGGUACGGGCAGACUGGAGUGCGGUAGGGGAGAGUGGAAUUCCUGGUGUAGCGGUGAAAUGCGCAGAUAUCAGGAAGAACACCCGUGGCGAAAGCGGCUCUCUGGAACGGUACUGACGCUGAGACGCGAAAGCGUGGGGAGCGAACAGG